UAGUGUUACCGUAUUUUAUUAUAGGCAUUUUUCACAUAAAUCGAAUUACCCGGCUGUAAAUACAACAACGCCAAUAACUGUGUAUCUAUACAAACCGUAUAAACGGAACCAAUUUUCGAAAUUCAAUUUGUACGUCGUAUCGUAUAAUGUAAAUACAACGCUCCCUCGUAGACUCCCUAGACCUAUUAUGACGAUAGCGCAUGAUCAAAAGCCAGUUCGU
Cinara cedri is the source of this 220-nucleotide non-coding RNA. The record is from the annotation of a GenBank genome assembly. Lineage: Eukaryota; Metazoa; Arthropoda; Insecta; Hemiptera; Aphididae.